This 1449-nucleotide ribosomal RNA is filed under the name Salmonella enterica subsp. enterica serovar Infantis str. CVM N32597PS. RNAcentral's name for it is "bacterial SSU rRNA". It matches the Rfam family "Bacterial small subunit ribosomal RNA". Lineage: Bacteria; Pseudomonadati; Pseudomonadota; Gammaproteobacteria; Enterobacterales; Enterobacteriaceae. The record is from RNAcentral. RNAcentral also lists the same sequence under 1 other name.
UGACGAGUGGCGGACGGGUGAGUAAUGUCUGGGAAACUGCCUGAUGGAGGGGGAUAACUACUGGAAACGGUGGCUAAUACCGCAUAACGUCGCAAGACCAAAGAGGGGGACCUUCGGGCCUCUUGCCAUCAGAUGUGCCCAGAUGGGAUUAGCUUGUUGGUGAGGUAACGGCUCACCAAGGCGACGAUCCCUAGCUGGUCUGAGAGGAUGACCAGCCACACUGGAACUGAGACACGGUCCAGACUCCUACGGGAGGCAGCAGUGGGGAAUAUUGCACAAUGGGCGCAAGCCUGAUGCAGCCAUGCCGCGUGUAUGAAGAAGGCCUUCGGGUUGUAAAGUACUUUCAGCGGGGAGGAAGGUGUUGUGGUUAAUAACCGCAGCAAUUGACGUUACCCGCAGAAGAAGCACCGGCUAACUCCGUGCCAGCAGCCGCGGUAAUACGGAGGGUGCAAGCGUUAAUCGGAAUUACUGGGCGUAAAGCGCACGCAGGCGGUCUGUCAAGUCGGAUGUGAAAUCCCCGGGCUCAACCUGGGAACUGCAUUCGAAACUGGCAGGCUUGAGUCUUGUAGAGGGGGGUAGAAUUCCAGGUGUAGCGGUGAAAUGCGUAGAGAUCUGGAGGAAUACCGGUGGCGAAGGCGGCCCCCUGGACAAAGACUGACGCUCAGGUGCGAAAGCGUGGGGAGCAAACAGGAUUAGAUACCCUGGUAGUCCACGCCGUAAACGAUGUCUACUUGGAGGUUGUGCCCUUGAGGCGUGGCUUCCGGAGCUAACGCGUUAAGUAGACCGCCUGGGGAGUACGGCCGCAAGGUUAAAACUCAAAUGAAUUGACGGGGGCCCGCACAAGCGGUGGAGCAUGUGGUUUAAUUCGAUGCAACGCGAAGAACCUUACCUGGUCUUGACAUCCACAGAAGAAUCCAGAGAUGGAUUUGUGCCUUCGGGAACUGUGAGACAGGUGCUGCAUGGCUGUCGUCAGCUCGUGUUGUGAAAUGUUGGGUUAAGUCCCGCAACGAGCGCAACCCUUAUCCUUUGUUGCCAGCGGUCCGGCCGGGAACUCAAAGGAGACUGCCAGUGAUAAACUGGAGGAAGGUGGGGAUGACGUCAAGUCAUCAUGGCCCUUACGACCAGGGCUACACACGUGCUACAAUGGCGCAUACAAAGAGAAGCGACCUCGCGAGAGCAAGCGGACCUCAUAAAGUGCGUCGUAGUCCGGAUUGGAGUCUGCAACUCGACUCCAUGAAGUCGGAAUCGCUAGUAAUCGUGGAUCAGAAUGCCACGGUGAAUACGUUCCCGGGCCUUGUACACACCGCCCGUCACACCAUGGGAGUGGGUUGCAAAAGAAGUAGGUAGCUUAACCUUCGGGAGGGCGCUUACCACUUUGUGAUUCAUGACUGGGGUGAAGUCGUAACAAGGUAACCGUAGGGGAACCUGCGGUUGGAUCACCUCCUUACC